CGGGAUCUUGGGGGCGAGAUGAGUUUGAUCAGAAUCCAACUGGCCCGCAAAGUCCCGCU
Hucho hucho (huchen) is the source of this 59-nucleotide microRNA precursor. The record is from Ensembl. Lineage: Eukaryota; Metazoa; Chordata; Actinopteri; Salmoniformes; Salmonidae.